Molecule: ribosomal RNA, 497 nt
Filed under: uncultured bacterium
Lineage: Bacteria
Description: partial 16S ribosomal RNA
Rfam family: Bacterial small subunit ribosomal RNA
Source: RNAcentral
GAUGAACGCUGGCGGCGUGCCUAAUACAUGCAAGUCGAGCGAACGGACGAGGAGCUUGCUCCUCUGACGUUAGCGGCGGACGGGUGAGUAACACGUGGAUAACCUACCUAUAAGACUGGGAUAACUUCGGGAAACCGGAGCUAAUACCGGAUAAUAUAUUGAACCGCAUGGUUCAAUAGUGAAAGACGGUUUUGCUGUCACUUAUAGAUGGAUCCGCGCCGCAUUAGCUAGUUGGUAAGGUAACGGCUUACCAAGGCAACGAUGCGUAGCCGACCUGAGAGGGUGGUCGGCCACCCUGGAACUGAGACACGGUCCAGACUCCUACGGGAGGCAGCAGUAGGGACUCUUCCGCAAUGGGCGAAAGCCUGACGGAGCAACGCCGCGUGAGUGAUGAGGGUCUUCGGAUCGUAAAACUCUGUUAUUAGGGAAGAACAAAUGUGUAAGUAACUAUGCACGUCUUGACGGUACCUAAUCAGAAAGCCCCGGCUAACUACGUG